Molecule: ribosomal RNA, 734 nt
Filed under: Providencia rettgeri
Lineage: Bacteria; Pseudomonadati; Pseudomonadota; Gammaproteobacteria; Enterobacterales; Morganellaceae
Description: partial 23S ribosomal RNA
Rfam family: Bacterial large subunit ribosomal RNA
Source: RNAcentral
GGUUAAGCGACUAAGCGUACACGGUGGAUGCCUAGGCAAUCAGAGGCGAUGAAGGACGUGCUAAUCUGCGAUAAGCGUCGGUAAGGUGAUAUGAACCGUUACAACCGACGAUUUCCGAAUGGGGAAACCCAGUGCAAUUCGUUGCACUAUCGUUUGAUGAAUACAUAGUCAAACGAAGCGAACCGGGGGAACUGAAACAUCUCAGUACCCCGAGGAAAAGAAAUCAACCGAGAUUCCCCUAGUAGCGGCGAGCGAACGGGGAGCAGCCCAGAGUCUUAAUCAGCAUUAGCAUCAGGAGAACGGUCUGGAAAGUCCGGCAGUAAAGGGUGAUAGCCCCGUAUCCGAAGGUGUUAGUGUUGUGAACUCGACGAGUAGGGCGGGACACGUGUUAUCCUGUCUGAAUAUGGGGGGACCAUCCUCCAAGGCUAAAUACUCCUGAUUGACCGAUAGUGAACCAGUACCGUGAGGGAAAGGCGAAAAGAACCCCGGCGAGGGGAGUGAAAUAGAACCUGAAACCGUGUACGUACAAGCAGUGGGAGCCUUGAUUUAUCAGGGUGACUGCGUACCUUUUGUAUAAUGGGUCAGCGACUUAUAUUCUGUAGCAAGGUUAACCGAAUAGGGGAGCCGUAGGGAAACCGAGUCUUAACUGGGCGAAUAAGUUGCAGGGUAUAGACCCGAAACCCGGUGAUCUAGCCAUGGGCAGGUUGAAGGUUGGGUAACACUAACUGGAGGAC